Molecule: ribosomal RNA, 401 nt
Filed under: uncultured bacterium
Lineage: Bacteria
Description: partial 16S ribosomal RNA
Rfam family: Bacterial small subunit ribosomal RNA
Source: RNAcentral
AAUAUUGGGCAAUGGAGGAAACUCUUACCCAGCAAUGCCGCGUGAGUGAAUGAAGGUCUUCGGAUUGUAAAGCUCUUUGAUUGGGGACGAAUAAAUGACGGUACCCAAAAAACAAGCCCCGGCUAACUAUGUGCCAGCAGCCGCGGUAAUACAUAGGGGGCAAGCGUUGUCCGGAAUGACUGGGCGUAAAGGGUGCGUAGGCGGUCUGGCAAGUUGGAAGUGUAAUACCUAGGGCUUAACCCAGGUGCUGCUUCCAAAACUGCUAGACUUGAGUGUUGGAGAGGAAAAUGGAAUUCCUAGUGUAGCGGUGGAAUGCGUAGAUAUUAGGAGGAACACCAGAGGCGAAGGCGAUUUUCUGGACAACAACUGACGCUGAGGCACGAAAGCGUGGGGAGCAAACA